AGAUGUUAAAAGCAAGAGACAUGGGAGAGCAUCAUUCCUUUGAGAUUUUAUAAAUCAAACCAAGUUUGGAGUUGUCUUGUAUGAUUUGGAGAGUCAUUAUUCUUGGUCUUCGCUCUUAGAGGCCACUGAUGAAGAACAGGUGGUAACUGGGAUGAAUACUGGUCAGAGAGGAGAAUCUUCUUUCCCCUAAACUGAUGCAGCGGUGGUUUUAAAGGAGGACGCUGCCCUGGAUGAUGUAGAAGAUGUCACAUGCUGUGCAGAUGGAGUUUCUUCAUGACUACAUCAGUUAUGCUAAAGAGAUCAUGAAAAUUGACCGUGAUGCAUGAUCUGUAUUCAUGGACUAUGAAACAAACUGUAAGUGUAUAAUUUGUUAAAAAAAAAGCUUUUUCUGUGUUGUUUAGUAGAAGAGUUUACACUCUGUCAUUCAUACACCUGCUCACAUUCUUUCACACACACACACACACACACACGUCUGUUAAAUGUUAUAAUAUCAAAGUUAAUGUUGUGAUUUAUUUGUGUACUGUCAUGCCAGAAUAGUUGGAAAAAAACCUAACUAAUUGUAAAUUUAUUGUAUGUGUUUUCGUAUAUUUUUAUACAAUAUAUACAAUUGAACAAAUUCCAAUUUGAUCUUAAGUUAUAUUCAUCAAAUGUUCAAUGCUUUGUUUAUGAACUCUGUAGCUGUUAAUGCCAUCCUUUUCUGCAUUUCU
Carassius gibelio (silver crucian carp) is the source of this 707-nucleotide long non-coding RNA. RefSeq lists it as uncharacterized. The record is from RefSeq and is a predicted model, not a curated record. NCBI's taxonomy places the organism in Eukaryota, Metazoa, Chordata, Actinopteri, Cypriniformes, Cyprinidae. The transcript is spliced from 3 exons.